CGCGCUGUAAACGAUGAGCACUAGGUGUCGGCAAGAGUCGGUGCCGCAGUUAACGCAUUAAGUGCUCCGCCUGAGUACUACGUGCGCAAGCAUAAAACUCAAAGGAAUUGGCGGGACCUCGCACAAGCGGUGGAUCAUGUUGUUUAAUUCGACGAUACGCGAAGAACCUUACCAGGCCUUGACAUACCCGGCAAUGCUAUGGAGACAUAGUGGAGGAUAUCCUGGAUACAGGUGG
Molecule: ribosomal RNA, 235 nt
Filed under: uncultured Bacillota bacterium
Lineage: Bacteria; Bacillati; Bacillota
Description: uncultured Firmicutes bacterium partial 16S ribosomal RNA
Rfam family: Bacterial small subunit ribosomal RNA
Source: RNAcentral